CUGCUUAUUUCCCUUAUUAAAAUAUAACCUAGCUGGAGACGCCAGACCUAGAUUUAAUAUUCUAAUAGCAUUAAGAUGAAGGAACCCAGUUUAUAUCAAUUAUCCUAGAGACGCUAGUAAUAAUUAAUAUACCAAUUAAUUCCCCCUACGAACACGGUAGUUGUAUCACUAAUUAGUCCAAUUCCAACAAUUACGGAUUGGCAGGAACUAAUUGACUGUAAUCCAAUUAAACCUAAGUUGAUCAGGCUUAAAUAAAAUCAGAAUUAUCUUGGAACCUAGGAAUUAAUCAGAAUUAAUAGGAAUCAAUUUUAAACCAAUUAGGUCUCACAGAUCAUUAAAUUAGAGUUUCAUUAUUCUCGCCGAAUUAAAAGAAUUAGCUACUCAUGACUUAAAAUAAAACAAUCAAAUGAAUAAAAUAAGCAUAAUAAACAACAAAGCAAACUAACGAAAAUAAAUUCGCAAGGAAUUUUAAAACCACUUGAACCACAAAUUGAACCCGUCUGCCUUUGCUCCCAAUCCAGCCGCAAUAAUUGAAACAGAGAACAAGAAUUAAUCUAAGCAACUAUGGAAUCAAAACUAAAAGGACGUGUGGAACAAUUGCAUGAAAAUAAAACUUGCAUGAAUAACUAAGAGAAAUCGCCUGUACUCCAGUUUUGAAAAGCCAAGUAUCAAAGUAAAAUUAAUCAAAGUCAAAAACUAAUCCUCCUCGUCUAAAAGUGCGGCUAGGUCUUGUAAUCAAAAAAAUAAAACUAGAAUCCUACUUCUAAUCAAAUCUAACAUGCGGCUGCUAUAUCGAAACAAAAGUAGGGAAUUUUAAUUCCCUUAAGCUACCGCCUAACCUAAAUAAAUGGGCUUCGGCCCUAAACUCAAUUAAUACCCAAAAUAAAAUAAAACUAAGAGUUUUGAGCUUUAUAAAAAUAUAACAAUUAAAUUAAAAGCCCAAUCUCUACUUUCUUCCAUCUUCACGACAAAUCCCAUCGCAACCUCGUCUUUCUCCACUUUCUUCCAAUUAGCAGCUCCAUCUCCAAUUCUUCUCAUUCCUGCGCCAAAACAUAGCAAAACAUGUAAUAUCACAUGAAACCACGGCAAAACGCACACUAAACUAGGUAGCUAAAAUACACACAUCA
This 1127-nucleotide long non-coding RNA is filed under the name Salvia miltiorrhiza (redroot sage). RNAcentral describes it as "long non-coding RNA (SMIL_LNC002831)". Lineage: Eukaryota; Viridiplantae; Streptophyta; Magnoliopsida; Lamiales; Lamiaceae. The record is from RNAcentral.